This 459-nucleotide ribosomal RNA is filed under the name uncultured bacterium. Its description in RNAcentral is "partial 16S ribosomal RNA". It matches the Rfam family "Bacterial small subunit ribosomal RNA", at positions 338 to 795 of the family's 1533-position model. The record is from RNAcentral.
CCUACGGGUGGCAGCAGUGAGGAAUAUUGGUCAAUGGGCGCGAGCCUGAACCAGCCAAGUAGCGUGAAGGAUGACUGCCCUACGGGUUGUAAACCGCUUUUGCACGGGGAUAACACCCUCCACUUGUGGAGGUCUGCAGGUACCGUGCGAAUAAGGGCCGGCUAAUUCCGUGCCAGCAGCCGCGGUAAUACGGAAGGCCCGAGCGUUAUCCGGAUUCAUUGGGCUUAAAGGGAGCGUAGGCGGGCGUUCAAGUCAGCUGUAAAAUCGCGCGGCUCAACCGCGCCCCGCAGUUGAAACUGGACGCCGUGAGUUCACAACAGGCAGGCGGAAUUCGUGGUGUAGCGGUGAAAUGCAUAGAUAUCACGAGGAACCCCGAUUGCGAAGGCAGCCUGCCGGGGUGCGACUGACGCUGAGGCUCGAAGGUGCGGGUAUCAAACAGGAUUAGAUACCCCAGUAGUC